UUCUGUAUGCGUGUGUUUAAUUUUAAGUGUCAACACUGAAAAGUUUGAACAGAUAAAAACACAUUACACAAUGUCCACAACCUUCACAACAGUGAGAACCUCCUGCCAGGAGGGUCUCUUCCCGCUUCCCCACCGGAGGACUCAAGGUGGGAGAAGGCGAAAAGGAUGGGGGAGUUGAGUUCCUUGGUGUUGUUGUGGCUCAGAAAGACGGAGUUGACGGCCGAGAGGCGUCUGAAUUGGACACUGC
Molecule: non-coding RNA, 247 nt
Filed under: Pongo abelii (Sumatran orangutan)
Lineage: Eukaryota; Metazoa; Chordata; Mammalia; Primates; Hominidae
Source: RNAcentral